AGUGCUGUGGCUUAAUGGGUAAAGCCCCUGCCUGCAGUGCAGGCAUCCCACACGGGCACCUGUUUGAGUCCCAGCUGCUCUA
Molecule: transfer RNA, 82 nt
Filed under: Oryctolagus cuniculus (rabbit)
Lineage: Eukaryota; Metazoa; Chordata; Mammalia; Lagomorpha; Leporidae
Rfam family: tRNA
About the family: Transfer RNA (tRNA) molecules are approximately 80 nucleotides in length.
Source: Rfam by way of RNAcentral